This 294-nucleotide ribosomal RNA is filed under the name uncultured microorganism. Its description in RNAcentral is "partial 16S ribosomal RNA". It matches the Rfam family "Bacterial small subunit ribosomal RNA", at positions 505 to 796 of the family's 1533-position model. The record is from RNAcentral.
GUGCCAGCAGCCGCGGUAAUACGUAGGGCGCAAGCGUUAUCCGGAAAUUAUUUGGGCGUAAAGAGCUCGUAGGCGGUUUGUCGCGUCUGCUGUGAAAUCCGGAGGCUCAACCUCCGGCCUGCAGUGGGUACGGGCAGACUAGAGUGCGGUAGGGGAGAUUGGAAUUCCUGGUGUAGCGGUGGAAUGCGCAGAUAUCAGGAGGAACACCGAUGGCGAAGGCAGAUCUCUGGGCCGUAACUGACGCUGAGGAGCGAAAGGGUGGGGAGCAAACAGGCUUAGAUACCCUGGUAGUCC